UACGGAGGGGGGCUAGCGUUGUUCGGAAUUACUGGGCGUAAAGCGCACGUAGGCGGCUUUGCAAGUCAGAGGUGAAAGCCCGGGGCUCAACCCCGGAAUAGCCUUUGAGACUGCAUCGCUUGAACAUCGGAGAGGUAAGUGGAAUUCCGAGUGUAGAGGUGAAAUUCGUAGAUAUUCGGAAGAACACCAGUGGCGAAGGCGACUUACUGGACGAUUGUUGACGCUGAGGUGCGAAAGCGUGGGGAGCAAACAGG
This 254-nucleotide ribosomal RNA is filed under the name uncultured bacterium. RNAcentral describes it as "partial 16S ribosomal RNA". It matches the Rfam family "Bacterial small subunit ribosomal RNA", at positions 524 to 776 of the family's 1533-position model. The record is from RNAcentral.